This 1230-nucleotide ribosomal RNA is filed under the name Enterococcus sp. 3C7_DIV0644. RNAcentral describes it as "bacterial SSU rRNA". It matches the Rfam family "Bacterial small subunit ribosomal RNA", at positions 8 to 1211 of the family's 1533-position model. The record is from RNAcentral. Lineage: Bacteria; Bacillati; Bacillota; Bacilli; Lactobacillales; Enterococcaceae.
AGAGUUUGAUCCUGGCUCAGGACGAACGCUGGCGGCGUGCCUAAUACAUGCAAGUCGAACGCUUUUUCUUUCACCGGAGCUUGCUCCACCGAAAGAAAAAGAGUGGCGAACGGGUGAGUAACACGUGGGUAACCUGCCCAUCAGAAGGGGAUAACACUUGGAAACAGGUGCUAAUACCGUAUAACACUAUUUUCCGCAUGGAAGAAAGUUGAAAGGCGCUUUUGCGUCACUGAUGGAUGGACCCGCGGUGCAUUAGCUAGUUGGUGAGGUAACGGCUCACCAAGGCAACGAUGCAUAGCCGACCUGAGAGGGUGAUCGGCCACACUGGGACUGAGACACGGCCCAGACUCCUACGGGAGGCAGCAGUAGGGAAUCUUCGGCAAUGGACGAAAGUCUGACCGAGCAACGCCGCGUGAGUGAAGAAGGUUUUCGGAUCGUAAAACUCUGUUGUUAGAGAAGAACAAGGAUGAGAGUAAAACGUUCAUCCCUUGACGGUAUCUAACCAGAAAGCCACGGCUAACUACGUGCCAGCAGCCGCGGUAAUACGUAGGUGGCAAGCGUUGUCCGGAUUUAUUGGGCGUAAAGCGAGCGCAGGCGGUUUCUUAAGUCUGAUGUGAAAGCCCCCGGCUCAACCGGGGAGGGUCAUUGGAAACUGGGAGACUUGAGUGCAGAAGAGGAGAGUGGAAUUCCAUGUGUAGCGGUGAAAUGCGUAGAUAUAUGGAGGAACACCAGUGGCGAAGGCGGCUCUCUGGUCUGUAACUGACGCUGAGGCUCGAAAGCGUGGGGAGCGAACAGGAUUAGAUACCCUGGUAGUCCACGCCGUAAACGAUGAGUGCUAAGUGUUGGAGGGUUUCCGCCCUUCAGUGCUGCAGCAAACGCAUUAAGCACUCCGCCUGGGGAGUACGACCGCAAGGUUGAAACUCAAAGGAAUUGACGGGGGCCCGCACAAGCGGUGGAGCAUGUGGUUUAAUUCGAAGCAACGCGAAGAACCUUACCAGGUCUUGACAUCCUUUGACCACUCUAGAGAUAGAGCUUCCCCUUCGGGGGCAAAGUGACAGGUGGUGCAUGGUUGUCGUCAGCUCGUGUCGUGAGAUGUUGGGUUAAGUCCCGCAACGAGCGCAACCCUUAUUGUUAGUUGCCAUCAUUUAGUUGGGCACUCUAGCGAGACUGCCGGUGACAAACCGGAGGAAGGUGGGGAUGACGUCAAAUCAUCAUGCCCCUUAUGACCUG